This 105-nucleotide ribosomal RNA is filed under the name Treponema sp. The record is from RNAcentral. Lineage: Bacteria; Pseudomonadati; Spirochaetota; Spirochaetia; Treponematales; Treponemataceae.
GUGAUUAUGGUGGAGGUGUUACACCCGUUCCCAUCCCGAACACGGUAGUUAAGCCCUCCUACGCCAAUGAUACUGCUCACGCGGGAAAGUAGGUCAUCGCCAGAC